CGGAGGAAAAGAAACUAACAAGGAUUCCCUCAGUAGCGGCGAGCGAAGCGGGAAAAGCCCAGGAUGAAAAUCUCUUCGGAGAGUUGUAGUCUGAGUCGCCUUGGGCGGUCAGUGUGGGUAAGUCGUCUGGAAAGACGUGCCGUGGAGGGUGAGAGCCCCGUCCAGCCCACACAGGACGCGCCCGCACGAGGUGGCUUCAACCGAGUCGGGUAGCUUGGGAAUGCUGCUCUAAAUGGUGGUAAAUCUCAUCAAAGGCUAAAUACGGGUGGGAGACCGAUAGCGAACAAGUACCGUGAGGGAAAGAUGGAAAGAACUUUGAAAAGAGAGUGAAAAGCGCUUGAAACCGUCACGGGGGAAGCGGAUUGCGUCAGUGGAUGGUGUGCGCGGUUCAGGCCAUGCGUUGUGCAUGGGUGCAUUCUGCGCGGGCCAGGCGUGCGUGGCCGGCGGGCUGUGUGAUGCGCAAGCGACACGGGCGCUGGUGAGGGCUCCCCGGUUGGGUGAGGACGCACGCGAAAGGGCGCGAUACGACCCGUCUUGAAACACGGACCAAGGAGUCUAGCAUGGGUGCGAGUCGAAGGGUGAUGAAACCCGGGGGGCGCAGUGAAAGCGAGAGCGAUAAGCAAAUUGGGGAGGCGUUGCGGUUUUACCAAAGCGUCCUACCUUGAGCAGCCAUGCUGGGACCCGAAAGAUGGUGAACUAUGCUUGAGUAGGGCAAAGCCAGAGGAAACUCUGGUGGAGGCUCGUAGCGAUGCUGACGUGCAAAUCGCUCGUCGAACUUGGGUAUAGGGGCGAAAGACUAAUCGAACCAUCUAGUAGCUGGUUCCCUCCGAAGUUUCUCUCAGGAUAGCGGGCCGACUGGACGUUGUUUUGUGCGGUAAAGCGAAUGAUUAGUGCAAUUGGGGGCCGAAGGCCUUCGGGCGAUUCUCAAACUUUAAAUGCGCAAGGGAGUGGCUGCUUGGCUGAGCUUGCUCUCCUAAAAACGUCGGCUCCGUGGGCCACUUUUGGUAAGCAGAACUGGCGAUAAGGGAUGAACCUUAAGCGCGGUUAAGGCGCCGCAUUGUCCGCUUAUAGAGCCCACAAAAGGUGUUGAUUCAUCCAGACAGCAGGACGGUGGCCAUGGAAGUCGGAAUCCGCUAAGGAGUGUGUAACAACUCACCUGCCGAAUGAAUUAGCCCUGAAAAUGGAUGGCGCUGAAGCGGGCAGCCGACACCGCGCCGUUCGUGUGAAAAUGGUGGUACGCGAAUGAGUAGGAGGGCGUGGCGGUCCGUGAAGCAGGCGUGGGUGCGAACCCCGCUGAAACGGCCGCUAGUGAAGAUCUUGGUGGUAGUAGCAAAUAUUCAAGCGGGAACCUUGAAGGGCGAAGCGGGGAAGGGUUCCACGCGAACAAUGAUUGGGCGUGGGUGAGUCGUUCCUAAGCCGAGUGUUAAUGGCUAACGGUAUGCGGCGAAAGGGAAGCGGGUUAAAAUUCCCGCACACGGAUAUGGAAAUGUGAAAGCGGCGACGCAAGCAGACGCGGAGACGCCGGCGAGUGCGCUGGGCAGAGUUGUCUUUUCUGUUUGACCGGCAUCGCGCGGUGUGGAAUCCGAUUAUCGGGAGAAACACGCGCGGGGAGGGGCAGAGCGCCGGGCUUUUCCGGCGUCCANCU
Molecule: ribosomal RNA, 1645 nt
Filed under: Balliopsis prieurii
Lineage: Eukaryota; Rhodophyta; Florideophyceae; Batrachospermales
Description: LSU rRNA
Rfam family: Eukaryotic large subunit ribosomal RNA
Source: RNAcentral